Molecule: ribosomal RNA, 407 nt
Filed under: Mandarina ponderosa
Lineage: Eukaryota; Metazoa; Mollusca; Gastropoda; Stylommatophora; Camaenidae
Description: partial 16S ribosomal RNA
Source: RNAcentral
AGUUUUGAGCUAAAUAUAUUAUAAUAUUAGUUAUUUAUAAAGGUGUUGUAAAACCUUAUUAAAAAUUAUAUUUAGGGGUGAUAGGCUUUUCAAAAACUAAGAUAUCUUGAAUCUAAUUAAAAGUAUGUAGUACAUUCGACACAACUAUUAAGUGAUUAGGCUUUAUAGAAUUAUUAACUUAUAAAGAUUUUAUUUACUAUAAUUUAAUAAUUAAGUAUGUAAAUAUAUUAAUAUAUAUAUAUUAUAAUUUAUAAAAAGUAAUUAGAUAAAUUAAAGUUCAUAAAUUUUGUAAUAAUGUUAAUAUUAGUAUUAAGUUUAUAUUUAUAUGAUGAACUCGGCAAAAAUGCUUCUCAACUGUUUAUCAAAAACAUAACUAUGUGAAUUAAUACAUAGCGGUUUCUGCUCAA